Molecule: ribosomal RNA, 497 nt
Filed under: uncultured bacterium
Lineage: Bacteria
Description: partial 16S ribosomal RNA
Rfam family: Bacterial small subunit ribosomal RNA
Source: RNAcentral
GACGAACGCUGGCGGCGUGCCUAAUACAUGCAAGUAGAACGCUUAAGGGAGGAGCUUGCUCUUCUUGGAUGAGCUGCUCAUGGGUGAGUAACGCGUAGAUAACCUGGCUUUUAGCGUGGUAUAACUACUUGAAACGCUAGCUAAUACCGCAUAACAAUGGAUUACCCAUGUCCCUUAUUUGAACGGGGCACAUGCUCCACUACAAGAUGGACCUGCGUUGUAUUAGCUAGUAGGUGAGGUAACGGCUCACCUAGGCGACGGUAAAUAGCCGACCUGAGAGGGCUAUCCGGAACACGGGGACGGUGACAGCGCCCAGGCUUCCCAAGGAGGCCACAGUUACGGAUCUUGGACCAUGAGGGCAACGCUGAAGCAGCGAAGACGCGUGGGUGACGCAGGUGUUCGGGUCGUAAAGAUCUGGUGUAAGUGGAGAUUGUGUGUGCGCGUGAUAAGCUCACAAAGUGACGGUACCUUACCAGAAAGCAACGGCUAACUACGUG